UACGGAGGGGGCUAGCGUUGUUCGGAAUUACUGGGCGUAAAGCGCACGUAGGCGGCUUUGUAAGUUAGAGGUGAAAGCCCGGGGCUCAACUCCGGAAUUGCCUUUAAGACUGCAUCGCUAGAAUUGUGGAGAGGUAAGUGGAAUUCCGAGUGUAGAGGUGAAGUUCGUAGAUAUUGGGAAGAACACCGGUGGCGAAGGCGGCGACCUGGUCCUUGACUGACGCUGAGGCGCGAAAGCGUGGGGAGCAAACAGG
This 253-nucleotide ribosomal RNA is filed under the name uncultured bacterium. RNAcentral describes it as "partial 16S ribosomal RNA". It matches the Rfam family "Bacterial small subunit ribosomal RNA", at positions 524 to 776 of the family's 1533-position model. The record is from RNAcentral.